AUUAAGCAUAUAAUUAAGCGGAGGAAAAGAAACUAACCAGGAUUCCCCUAGUAAGGGCGACUGAAGCGGGAUGAGCUCAGGAUGUGAAUCUGUAUACUAACAUUAUUGAAAUGUAUACCGAAUUGUGGUCUGUAGACUUUGACGUUAACAUGCCGGGCCAAGUCCCUUGGAACAGGGCAGCAGAGAGGGUGAGACUCCCGUUCGCCUGGUGGUGUGAGUCAGAUGUCAACGAGUCGAGUUGUUUGGGAUUGCAGCUCUAAUUGGGUGGUAAAUUCCAUCUAAAGCUAAAUAUUGGUGGGAGACCGAUAGCGUACAAGUACCGUGAGGGAAAGAUGCAAAGAACUUUGAAAAGAGAGUUAAAGAGUACCUGAAAUUGCUGAAACGGAAGCGAAGGAAACCAGUGUCUGAUUGUACCAUACUUCCCUUGCCACUUGUGGUCUGGGCGCUGUGGUGCUUUCAUAGGUCUGCCUUGGUUGUGUCUCUCUGGAAGAGCGCCUACAGAGUUGAUGUGGGUUGCUAGCAUUGGGCGUGACUGAGUGCAGACGAAAUGGUUUUCUUUACCCCGUCUUGAAACACGGACCAAGGAGUCUAACAUAUGUGCGAGUACAGGGGUGGCAAACCCCGGUGCGUAAUGAAAGUGACAGUGGUUGGAUAUUUGCACAAUCCGCCGGCCUCAAUCCUUCGGGAGAACGGUCUGAGUGUGAGCAUACAUGUUGGGACCCGAAAGGUGAUGAACUAUGCCUGAAUAGGGUGAAGCCAGGGGAAACUCUGGUGGAGGCUCGUAGCGAUUCUGACGUGCAAAUCGAUCGUCAAAUUUGGGUAUAGGGGCGAAAGACUAAUCGAAUUACCUAGUAGCUGG
This 859-nucleotide ribosomal RNA is filed under the name Nitzschia sp. SuS-2017b. Its description in RNAcentral is "partial large subunit ribosomal RNA". It matches the Rfam family "Eukaryotic large subunit ribosomal RNA", at positions 33 to 954 of the family's 3401-position model. The record is from RNAcentral. Lineage: Eukaryota; Bacillariophyta; Bacillariophyceae; Bacillariales; Bacillariaceae.